Molecule: transfer RNA, 89 nt
Filed under: Nocardia cyriacigeorgica
Lineage: Bacteria; Bacillati; Actinomycetota; Actinomycetes; Mycobacteriales; Nocardiaceae
Description: tRNA-seC(tca)
Source: RNAcentral
UGGUGCUGGCCUGGGCGGCCCGCAGCGGGCGAUUCACCCGGCCCGGCGACGGCGGCCAGGCGCCGCUGUUCGACGCCGCGACCACCGCC